CUCCAUUAGAAAUUUUAAUUGAGAUUAGUUUUGGAAUAAGGAAAGGGGGAUGUGAUUAAAAAAAUUGGGUUCAAUUUUUCACAUUUGAAAUUUCAUAAAUAAAAAAGAAAAUUUCUUCAAACAUUUUUAUGCCCCACCUACGAUAGUAGAGGGGCAUUAUGUUUUCUGGUCUGUGCGUCCGUCCGUCUGUCCGUUUGUUCGUCCGUCCGUUCGUCCGUCCGUCUGUCCCGCUUCAGGUUAAAGUUUUUGGUCAAGGUAGUUUUUGAUGAAGUUUAAGUCCAAUCG
This 285-nucleotide long non-coding RNA is filed under the name Mytilus galloprovincialis (Mediterranean mussel). Lineage: Eukaryota; Metazoa; Mollusca; Bivalvia; Mytilida; Mytilidae. The record is from RNAcentral.